RNAcentral lists this long non-coding RNA (720 nucleotides) under Monodelphis domestica (gray short-tailed opossum). Its description in RNAcentral is "lncRNA (ENSMODG00000031390.2)". Lineage: Eukaryota; Metazoa; Chordata; Mammalia; Didelphimorphia; Didelphidae. The record is from RNAcentral.
UUAUUGUAUAUUAAUUUUACAACUCACAGGGUGCUGUUUUGAUUUUUUGAGACUCCACAAGACCUUUCACCAGACAGGAGGUGGCUCCAUCCUAGUUUCAGGCUUGAUCAGGAGAAGAAGGUUUGGAUUUUGAGAAUUUUAUCUACAAGUGCUAUUCCUGUUCCCUGAAUAAUAUAAAUGAAUUGAUGUUGCUUGCUAUAGAAUGAGAUAUCUUCUACAGUCAUCAUUUGUAUGGAUAUAGGGAUUUGGAGAAACUGUUAUACAGUUCAGAUAGGCUAUUUUAUAAUAAUCAGACAAAGUGGGAGAAUAGUUGUCAUCAUUGUUUUUCAUCUUUCAUCUUCAAAGAGGACCGGUGAUAUUACAGUUGUGAAUAAAAGACCUCUGCUGGAAAGUAUCAUUAAGGUACUACUUCAAUUCUCAAAGUGGUCUGCAAAUCCCUGGAUUUCCUUUUAGGGUGUCCUCAAGGUCAAAACUACUUUUAUAAUAAUACUAAAAUGUUUAUUUGCCCAUAAAAAUAUUUAUCUCUUUGCCAAUCCCAUAUCUAUAUUGGACUGAACUUUCUAUAAAUACUUCAACUAAAGCAACAUUGAAUGUAGGUAAUAUGAAAUAUGAGGAUCCAGCAAUCAUCUAUUAGACCAAACACUAAAGAGAUUUGCAUAAAUAUGUAAAACAAUGACAUUCUUCUCAUUAAUUUUUGUUUUGGAAAAUGGCUAAUUUAAA